Molecule: long non-coding RNA, 3363 nt
Organism: Manis javanica (Malayan pangolin)
Lineage: Eukaryota; Metazoa; Chordata; Mammalia; Pholidota; Manidae
Source: RefSeq, a predicted model, not a curated record
GGAACGGAAAAAAGCCACUGAGUGGGGGCAGGUGCCAAGGGGCUCGGCUUCCUGAGGGCUGAUGUUCUGACGCUUCUGAGAACCACGCACCAGGUGCCAGGCUGAGCCCUGGACUGGCUUCAUUUACUGGAACCUACCUAAAUUAGCCCAUGUGACCUCACCACCACCCGAAGAGGGGUGGCCACUGCUCCAACCUCCAGAUCAGGAAAUGGAGACCAGAGGUUGUGUAACUUUGCCUGAGGCCUCAAGGAUCUGAGCUGUCCCAGUUUCCGCUGUUGCCGUUGGCCCAAGUUGCUGGCACACCCUCGGAGCUGUGCCCUGAAAGGCAGCACAGAUCAGAGGAGAAGAAAAGGAGUUUCAGAGCAACAGAACAGAGCAGAGGGGUCUGAGUCCAUUAACAAAGAAGGAAGAGGCCUGGAAGGAAUCCUGCUCCUCUCCAGUUUCUGCUCCAGGGAAACACAGGAUACAGCUCCCCAGACUCUUGGAAGCGGAGUGUGCAGCCACCAUUUCCCAGAGCAGACCCACAGCCUUCCACAGAGAGUCUACCUGCAGUUCUCACCUGGCUUGACACCCACUCGGCCAAGACGUCACAGGGUAUUUUCCACUUAAAAAGCUUAAUUGUCCAGCAGCCACAUUUCUUCCAAACUUAUCCCUGAGGCUUGGUGGAGGGAACUGCAGCUGACAGCUUAACAGGAAGAAAGAAGACUCUGAGCUGUGCCCUUUUCCUCUCUGCUCCAUGCCUGUGGCCACACGGUAGCAUGUCACCCACACACACACUGCUAGUGGGGCCUCUCACUGGAAUGGGCAGGGGAGCCAGGACAGUCUGCCCGUGAGCUCCAGCUGCAUUAGGAGAGGCAGUGGCAGCUGCCCCUGCAUCCCAGGGUGGAUGCUCUCAGCCCACACCUGGACAGCCACCUGUGCCAUUCUCAUCCGACACCCGUGCCUUAUUCCACCUGUGAGAUGGACCUGACCUGGUGGGCCUGUGCCUCAGAAACAGCCUGCAGUUGCCCACCAGCUCCCAUCAGACUGCUAGGGGUGCUUCCCAGGAGGCCCUGAGCUCACAGCUAAUGCCAUUGAAAAGUCUGGGGGUGGCAGGUUGUCACCCAAAGUGGACUGAGGGGCUGGAGAGGACUUGAUAUCUCUGCAGAGUUGCACAUUGCAGGGGCUGCCUGAGCACAGGCUGAAUAGGCUCAGCAGGGCUGAGCUUCCAAAGCCCCCACCAAUUCUCAUACUCCAUGAGGAUGCCCCCACUCCUGGGGUACCAUGGAGUGGCCAAGGAGCAAGCUUCUCUGUAAAUGAAACAGGAGGUGUGAGCCACCAGAGGACAGUAGAUGAGUAGGAAAAGGGGUCUGGGAACAGUUUCCAGACCUCCUUCCAGCACCAAGAAACUUCUAAGGCAGCCAGGUAUCAUCACAGGACAUGGGGACAUGUGAACUCAGGACUGCUGCUUUUCCUAAAUCUUCCUUUUUCUCUAUUCAAACUCUGUGCUUCAAUAUUCCCAAGUAAAAGUAGCAAGAAUAUGAAUAGCAACAUUUACUAGGUACCAAGGGGGUCCAAGCACAUUUACUAUUAACUCAUUUAAUCCCAAGGGAGGCACAAGACAGCUUGGGAAGGAGAAACAGCCUGCAUGUUUUCCUCGUUUUUGUUGGGAGAACUGGAGAGAUGGGAUCUUGAAGAAACUCACAAGGAGGAUUUCCCUCUGAAAAGAUACGUCUGUGCUGUGUGGAGGAACCAAGGGGGAAAAGAAGGAACAAGAGAGGAUCGUGGUUUCUGGGGUGGCACAGGGGAAGACCUGGCCCAUGUUCUUGGCUCCUUUGAGGAAGAGGCAGAUGGAAACAUGAGCACCAGUCCCCCGCCCAAGGCUGAUGUGGAAGCAGGGCCAAGUGGUUGUCACACUGGAUAGUGGGUGUCUCAAUAGCACAUGUAGACUGAGCAUCAAGGGCCGUGGGACAGCCCCCAGAGCUCUCGGUCAGGCCCCAAGAAUAUGCCACAUUCUUUACAUGUGAGGAGGAUUGAGCUAGUUAGGUUUCCCAACAGUCUGGCAGGGGAUGGGAGUACAAUCAGAUAUUACACUGUUACAGGAAAAUUAAGUCAGUUCUCUUUCUUUCUGAGUUUUUGGACUGAGAUUCACAUAUGUUGUGUUUUUCUUUCAAUUCCCAACUUAACACUAGGUAGUUCUUCAAAAAUGUUUACUGAAUGAGUAUAAGCACUGGAGUAGAAAAAGAAUAUUACAGAUAUGUAAUAGGCCAGUGGUUCUCCACGUAUGGUACUGGAACCCCUGGAGGUGUCCAAGAUCCUUUCAUAAUAAUCCAAAGACAUUAAGUACUUUUUUCACUCUCAUUCUCUCACAGUUGAGUUUCCACUUAAAAAGUUUUCCUCAACUGUGAGAGCUACAUGAUGCGUGUUAUUGCAACUGAUUAAAUGCAGAAGCAGAUAUUGCAAUCCACUGUCUUCUAUUAAGCCAGACAUUAAAACCAUUUGCAAAAUGUAAAAUAAUGCCACUUUUUAAAUUAAUGUUUUUUGAAAGCCACUUGACCUCUCCAGGCUCAUGUACCAAAUGCAGGCACUGGUCGGAUGAGCUCUCAGGGCUCCGUCCUCAUAGGCAGAGGCAGAGACGGAAGCUCAGUAGAGUCAAAGCGGCCCCUCUGAAAUUAUUGUUCCCUGAGUACACCAUGGGAAUGCUGCAGGAUGGGUUUGCUGGCUAAAAGUAACUGCCCUAAGGCCUGGGGGUCAAAGGGCUCCUCUCAGAGCCAGAGCCAGAUGAUGUCAGUGCCCAGGCACCAUCAGCAUUCCUGGGUGGCUCAGGUCUGUGGGUGGCUGCUCGGGAAUCUGCCAUCCCUUUGUGCCUCCAGAGAUGCCACCUCUACUCUCUAACUGAGCCCAAAAUGCAGGCACACAUGUGCAUGCAUGCACACUAUAUCAAAUGCUGGAAGUAAUAUGAUUUAGACUCUGAUGCUCUUUCAGGGAAGCCUCGGUGGAGAAACAAAACUGACGGCCUUGCUUUCAGCCAGCCACCCCUGCCCCACGUGGCAGCCUCUGCAAGCAGAAAUGCUAGGCGAGGGCAGGCUGCCCUCCCAGGGCUGUGACAUCCCCCCUUUCUGGCCCGGGCCCAGCCAGUGCUGCAACCCAUGCUCCUUUGUGGGUCACUUGGAAGCCUGCUCUUGAACAUGGUUAUAAAUGCCCAAUAAUAAACAAACACGAGCUCUUCUGAAAUGUUCCCAGGAAUAGCCAACUGCCCAAAUUGCCAAGGUUGUUUUUCAGAUCCUGGGAAAAAAAGAAAUGGAGUAUGGUUUAUUUUUUCCAUGCCCAAAGCAGAAUCAUUGGUCACAUAGGUCCAAUUUUAGCUUUCUGGUUCCAUUUUUU